RNAcentral lists this ribosomal RNA (253 nucleotides) under uncultured bacterium. Its description in RNAcentral is "partial 16S ribosomal RNA". It matches the Rfam family "Bacterial small subunit ribosomal RNA", at positions 524 to 776 of the family's 1533-position model. The record is from RNAcentral.
UACGAAGGGGGCUAGCGUUGCUCGGAAUCACUGGGCGUAAAGCGCACGUAGGCGGCUUUCUAAGUCAGGGGUGAAAUCCUGGAGCUCAACUCCAGAACUGCCUUUGAUACUGGAGAGCUUGAGUCCGGGAGAGGUGAGUGGAACUCCGAGUGUAGAGGUGAAAUUCGUAGAUAUUCGGAAGAACACCAGUGGCGAAGGCGGCUCACUGGCCCGGUACUGACGCUGAGGUGUGAAAGCGUGGGGAGCAAACAGG